RNAcentral lists this ribosomal RNA (749 nucleotides) under Micrococcaceae bacterium. Its description in RNAcentral is "bacterial SSU rRNA". It matches the Rfam family "Bacterial small subunit ribosomal RNA", at positions 76 to 833 of the family's 1533-position model. The record is from RNAcentral. Lineage: Bacteria; Bacillati; Actinomycetota; Actinomycetes; Micrococcales; Micrococcaceae.
GUGCUUGCACCUGGUGGAUGAGUGGCGAACGGGUGAGUAAUACGUGAGUGACCUUCCUUGGACUCUGGGAUAAGCCCGGGAAACUGGGUCUAAUACCGGAUACGACCAGUCCUCGCAUGGGGUGCUGGUGGAAAGGGUUUGUACUGGUUCUUGAUGGGCUCACGUCCUAUCAGCUUGUUGGUGAGGUAAUGGCUUACCAAGGCGACGACGGGUAGCCGGCCUGAGAGGGUGACCGGCCACACUGGGACUGAGACACGGCCCAGACUCCUACGGGAGGCAGCAGUGGGGAAUAUUGCACAAUGGGCGCAAGCCUGAUGCAGCGACGCCGCGUGGGGGAUGACGGCCUUCGGGUUGUAAACCUCUUUCAGCAGGGAAGAAGCGAAAGUGACGGUACCUGCAGAAGAAGCGCCGGCUAACUACGUGCCAGCAGCCGCGGUAAUACGUAGGGCGCAAGCGUUGUCCGGAAUUAUUGGGCGUAAAGAGCUCGUAGGCGGUUUGUCGCGUCUGCUGUGAAAGCCCGGGGCUCAACCCCGGGUGUGCAGUGGGUACGGGCAGGCUGGAGUGCAGUAGGGGAGACUGGAAUUCCUGGUGUAGCGGUGAAAUGCGCAGAUAUCAGGAGGAACACCGAUGGCGAAGGCAGGUCUCUGGGCUGUUACUGACGCUGAGGAGCGAAAGCAUGGGGAGCGAACAGGAUUAGAUACCCUGGUAGUCCAUGCCGUAAACGUUGGGCACUAGGUGUGGGGGACAUU